This 253-nucleotide ribosomal RNA is filed under the name uncultured bacterium. RNAcentral describes it as "partial 16S ribosomal RNA". It matches the Rfam family "Bacterial small subunit ribosomal RNA", at positions 524 to 776 of the family's 1533-position model. The record is from RNAcentral.
UACGUAGGGGGCUAGCGUUGUCCGGAAUCAUUGGGCGUAAAGAGCGUGUAGGCGGCCCGGUAAGUCCGCUGUGAAAGUCGGGGGCUCAACCCUCGAAUGCCGGUGGAUACUGUCGGGCUAGAGUGCGGAAGAGGCAAGUGGAAUUCCCGGUGUAGCGGUGAAAUGCGCAGAUAUCAGGAAGAACACCAAUGGCGAAGGCAGCUCUCUGGGACGGUACUGACGCUGAGACGCGAAAGCGUGGGGAGCGAACAGG